RNAcentral lists this long non-coding RNA (1016 nucleotides) under Marmota monax (woodchuck). Lineage: Eukaryota; Metazoa; Chordata; Mammalia; Rodentia; Sciuridae. The record is from RNAcentral.
GGGGCUGUAGCUCAGUGGGAGAGCACUUGCCUAGCACAUGUGAGGCACUGGGUUUGAUCCUUAGCAUCACAUAAAAAUAAAGUAUUGUGUCCAUCCACAACUAAAAAAAUAUUUUUAAAAAAUAAAAAUUAGUCGUGAUUUUAUUUUUAAAUUUAAAAAUGAUAGAAUAGUUCCUCAUUUGAACACUCGUAAAUUCACUAAAAUUUGUAAUCCCAAAAUCAAUGCUUAAGGCAUUUUUCUGGGCAUACACUGGUGAAAAGUUUGAGUCAAACAAUGUGCUCAUUCCUGCUUGGCAACCAUGUUUCUGUUUUCUUUCUCCCAUUCUGUCAGUUAACAUCCCACUAUUUUGAUAGUGUCCUUGAUGCACAAAUGUUUUUCAUGUUGAUGAAGUUCAAUUCUUUCUUUUGGCAACUGCUCUUUGAUGUCAUAUCCAAUAAAUCAUUAUCAAAAUCAGUGUUGGAAACUUUUCCCCACAGGUUUCCUUCUGACUUUUUGCCUUUACCUUUAGUUUUUAACAUAUUUUGCAUUCAUUUUAGUAUAAAAUGAAGGUCCAACUUCAUUCUUUUCAUGUGGACAUCCAGCUUUCCAGACACUAUUUUUGAAAAGACUAUCCUUUCUCAUCUUGAUGUCCUUGUUGAAAAUCAUUUGACCGUACAUAUGAGAGUUUAUUUCCAAGGUCUCCUUUCUAAUCCAUUAGUCUGUAUGUCUGUCUUCUUGACAAUACUGUCCUGUUUGACUACCACAGCCUCGUAGUAAAUUGUGAAAUUGGUACACAAGAUUCCAAAUUUGUUCUCCUUUUAGAUAUUUUUUGACUGUUUGGAGACCCUUGAGAUUCUGUAUGAAAUUCAGGAUGAAUUUUUCUAUUGGGAAAGUCAUUGAGAUUUUUAUAGGAAUUGCAAUGAGUCUGUAGUUCACUUCAGGUAGAAUUGUCAUCUUAACAAUAUUAAGUUUUCCAAUGCAAGAACAUGGAGUUUUUCCAUUUAUUUGUGUCAUUUUAAAAUUCUUUCAGUUCUGUU